RNAcentral lists this ribosomal RNA (355 nucleotides) under Escherichia coli. Its description in RNAcentral is "partial 23S ribosomal RNA". It matches the Rfam family "Bacterial large subunit ribosomal RNA", at positions 1 to 393 of the family's 2925-position model. The record is from RNAcentral. Lineage: Bacteria; Pseudomonadati; Pseudomonadota; Gammaproteobacteria; Enterobacterales; Enterobacteriaceae.
GUUAAGCGACUAAGCGUACACGGUGGAUGCCCUGGCAGUCAGAGGCGAUGAAGGACGUGCUAAUCUGCGAUAAGCGUCGGUAAGGUGAUAUGAACCGUUAUAACCGGCGAUUUCCGAAUGGGGAAACCCAGUGUGUUUCGACACACUAUCAUUAACUGAAUCCAUAGGUUAAUGAGGCGAACCGGGGGAACUGAAACAUCUAAGUACCCCGAGGAAAAGAAAUCAACCGAGAUUCCCCCAGUAGCGGCGAGCGAACGGGGAGCAGCCCAGAGCCUGAAUCAGUGUGUGUGUUAGUGGAAGCGUCUGGAAAGGCGCGCGAUACAGGGUGACAGCCCCGUACACAAAAAUGCACAUG